CCCAAGGUCCUCUAGUGUGUUCUGUAUGCACUGAGGCCUGGCAGCAACUGGAUUUUGUUGAUAAUAUAGAUGCAGUAUGGACAUAGAGUCCUGCAACAUUAACAGAGACAGACAGUUAAUCUGGAAAUCAAGAUAUCCACCAGGUAUACUGCAGUUCCACACUGGAAAAUACCAUUUUAGAAGGCUGAGAUCUUAUCCCGCUAUUGUGAACUGAUCAAUUGUGGAAGCCAAAUGGUGAUGGACGGGGAAUUUGGAGGAGGCAAAAUUCAAAAA
This is a long non-coding RNA of Numida meleagris (helmeted guineafowl), 273 nucleotides long. RefSeq lists it as uncharacterized. The record is from RefSeq and is a predicted model, not a curated record. Lineage: Eukaryota; Metazoa; Chordata; Aves; Galliformes; Numididae. The transcript is spliced from 3 exons.